UACGUAGGUGACAAGCGUUGUCCGGAUUUACUGGGCGUAAAGAGCGCGCAGGCGGUCGAUCAAGUCGAGUGUGAAAGCCCCCGGCUCAACUGGGGAGGGUCAUUCGAUACUGAUCGACUCGAAGGCAGGAGAGGGUAGUGGAAUUCCCGGUGUAGUGGUGAAAUGCGUAGAGAUCGGGAGGAACACCGGUGGCGAAGGCGGCCUUCUGGACGGUGACUGACGCUGAGGCGCGAAAGCGUGGGGAGCAAACGGG
RNAcentral lists this ribosomal RNA (253 nucleotides) under uncultured bacterium. RNAcentral's name for it is "partial 16S ribosomal RNA". It matches the Rfam family "Bacterial small subunit ribosomal RNA", at positions 524 to 776 of the family's 1533-position model. The record is from RNAcentral.